UUCGGUAUCCUGUGUUGCUUACCUAUCGAAAGGAAUCCGAUGGUUUCGUUAGUCCCUUUCCGCUCCCUGCCCUCACGGGUUUUGGGGUGGACAUCAGGCAAGCCUCGUGUUCCCGGCACGCUUCGCCCAGCUGCGUCGCUGCCUCGGCCCAUGAGGUGCAUUGCCCGUGCUCUCGGAUGCAGAAUGUUAUGUGCGGGUGCGGGGUCUAUUUAUUAGCUCCGUUUGCCCAAGCAACGCAUUUGUCCAUCGACACGAACGACUGCCGUGCCCGUCUUGAGCCCGCGGCCUUACGGCCUGCCGGGUCUCAUGCGGGCGUCGG
Molecule: unclassified non-coding RNA, 319 nt
Filed under: Bursera penicillata
Lineage: Eukaryota; Viridiplantae; Streptophyta; Magnoliopsida; Sapindales; Burseraceae
Description: partial external transcribed spacer
Source: RNAcentral